Long non-coding RNA from Daphnia pulex (common water flea), 679 nucleotides. RefSeq lists it as uncharacterized. The record is from RefSeq and is a predicted model, not a curated record. The transcript is spliced from 3 exons. Lineage: Eukaryota; Metazoa; Arthropoda; Branchiopoda; Diplostraca; Daphniidae.
AUUAGUGUCGUCUGCCGGUCUGCGUUCAUUUUGUUUACAAGUUUCAGAUUCAGACGCAAAUUCAAGAUAACAAAGACAAUUAAACAUUUUUAUUUUGGAAACGAACGUGGCUGCACGAAAAAUGGCACAACAAAUAUAAUUAUAAAACUGUUGUCGCCGUAUCAACCUUGGUGUCGUCGCUUUCCAUGCUCUCCACUGUCCACUCCAUGGCCAUGCUGUUUGGCAGGCUUGAGCCAGCCAUUGUAACCUCAAGAUAGGCCAGGUUUGCUUGUGCUGGUAUCAUCAUCACCAGCAGUCUCAAGUUAUUAUCGCCAGGAUGAUUUUCGUUACUUUUAUUCCUCUGACCUGCUUGAUAUCUCAAUGAUGCAAAACUUGCACAAAUAAACAGCAUCCCUCUUUUUUGGAGAAAUUACCAAUGUUGGCCGAGUUAGGGAUCUCUUCUUCCUCUUAAAUCCCCUCUGCCCUCGUGUACAUGCAUGUGGGUGUAGGUGCAUUCACGAGGAGUGGCGUAUUCAACUUUACUGCGAAUGGAACACUUACAGUAAAUGGCCUGGCUGGAUUUCCCAGGCUUUAAGGUAAUUCUUGGUUUUUAACUAUUGGGUGACGUUGAACAUGGUACGAUUAUUCCCGAGCUAGGCGAUUGACUGCAACUGUUUGAGCCCUUGCCGUUUUUGUUGAU